AACGCGAAGAACCUUACCUACCCUUGACAUCCUGCGAAUCUGGCUGAGAGGCUGGAGUGCCGAAAGGAGCGCAGAGACAGGUGCUGCAUGGCUGUCGUCAGCUCGUGUUGUGAGAUGUUGGGUUAAGUCCCGUAACGAGCGCAACCCUUGUCCUUAGUUGCCAUCAUUUAGUUGGGGACUCUAAGGAGACUGCCGGUGAUGAACCGGAGGAAGGCGGGGACGACGUCAAGUCAUCAUGGCCUUUAUGGGUAGGGCUACACACGUGCUACAAUGGGGCGUACAGAGGGUAGCCAACCCGCGAGGGGGAGCCAAUCUCAGAAAGCGUCUCGUAGUCCGGAUUGGAGUCUGCAACUCGACUCCAUGAAGUUGGAAUCGCUAGUAAUCGCGAAUCAGCAAUGUCGCGGUGAAUACGUUCCCGGGCCUUGUACACACCGCGAGC
This 439-nucleotide ribosomal RNA is filed under the name uncultured bacterium. RNAcentral describes it as "bacterial SSU rRNA". It matches the Rfam family "Bacterial small subunit ribosomal RNA", at positions 958 to 1397 of the family's 1533-position model. The record is from RNAcentral.